CUUUAGCAGCACCUGCACAGGCACCCACAGCUGUCAACCAAUCUGGAAUAUUCAGCUUGAUCUGCCCAGGGCAGCUUUUGCCUGGGCCCAGGCUGCCAGCACGGACCAAUGGAGCAUGAUUACCCGAUGCAGAGAGCAUACCUUGAACCCACAGACUGGACACAUCAUGGGGUUCCCUCCUCCACAGAAUACAGUCUAUCCAAAUGACG
RNAcentral lists this long non-coding RNA (209 nucleotides) under Numida meleagris (helmeted guineafowl). Its description in RNAcentral is "lncRNA (ENSNMEG00000002613.1)". The record is from RNAcentral. Lineage: Eukaryota; Metazoa; Chordata; Aves; Galliformes; Numididae.